RNAcentral lists this unclassified non-coding RNA (295 nucleotides) under fungal sp. RNAcentral describes it as "partial internal transcribed spacer region". The stretch from base 1 to 46 matches the Rfam family "Eukaryotic small subunit ribosomal RNA", at positions 1786 to 1831 of the family's 1831-position model. The record is from RNAcentral. Lineage: Eukaryota; Fungi.
AAGUCGUAACAAGGUUUCCGUAGGUGAACCUGCGGAAGGAUCAUUACCAAAUCCAAAUUACCCAACCCCAUGUGAACUAUUGUUUGUUGUCCUUGGGGGAAAUGGAGGAAAAAAGGUAAAAAUAAUAUAAAUAUUUUUUAUAUUGAUUUCCUUUUAUUAUUCCUUUCCCCCAAAAGAAUCCGGCACUUUUGUGCUUUGUGAUUCUUGAUAAACUACAGAUUUCUUUUUGUUUUGGAAUGAACUUUUAUUAAAAUUAAUAAAAGACAACUUUUAACGGUGGAUCUCUUGGCUCGUG